RNAcentral lists this transfer RNA (72 nucleotides) under Bos indicus (zebu cattle). It matches the Rfam family "tRNA". Rfam says of the family: Transfer RNA (tRNA) molecules are approximately 80 nucleotides in length. Their secondary structure includes four short double-helical elements and three loops (D, anti-codon, and T loops). Lineage: Eukaryota; Metazoa; Chordata; Mammalia; Artiodactyla; Bovidae. RNAcentral also lists the same sequence under 4 other names. The record is from Rfam by way of RNAcentral.
UCCCUUUUGGCUCAGCUGGUAUAGAAUCCGCCUGUAAAGCGGGAGACCUCGGUUCGAUCCUUGGAUUGGGAA